Molecule: non-coding RNA, 25 nt
Filed under: Mus musculus (house mouse)
Lineage: Eukaryota; Metazoa; Chordata; Mammalia; Rodentia; Muridae
Source: RNAcentral
UAGUUCUCAAAGCCUGCUCCCAGUG